CAGGGAGACAACACAAUGAUUUUGAUGCCUGAGUGCUUUUAUUCUUAGGCCGAAAUCCUGUCACCUUAGGUCGAUCGGUACCUCAGCUUUGAAGUCAAGGAUCAGCAGCAAUGUUGAUUGCUUGAUGGAGAUUUUCAGUUCCUAAACUUUGUCUAGGUCACACCCCAAAAGGGAUGAGACUCCUGGGCCAUUAGCUCAGGUGGUUAGAGCGCACCCCUGAUAAGGGUGAGGUCCCUGGUUCAAGUCCAGGAUGGCCCAUUCGGUGUUGGGGGUUUAGCUCAGUUGGUAGAGCGCCUGCUUUGCAAGCAGGAUGUCAGGAGUUCGAGUCUCCUAACCUCCACAGACCGAACUUGAUUCCCAUCUCCAAUUUUUUUGGAGUUGAGCUCGAUUGGAGUGUGAUUUAGAUGUGUCCGCUGGAUGACCCCAGCUUCCUGUCAUUCCAAGUUUUAGGUUGAUGCCUUGAAUUUGGUUGAUAAGAUGCUGGGCUCGGAUCAAAUGAUCAAGCAAUUGAUGAUUUGAUUUGAAGUUCUAGCAGAACCUUGACAACUGCAUAGGUGAGUCUGGAAAAAACAAAGCAUCUUACAGAUGCAUUGUUUUGAAUCUGAUCUUCUGAAAGGGAGAUUGGAUCUAGAACAAUGAAAAUUCUUUUGAGCAAGAGCCGAGACUCUUGAGCGUUCUUUGAUUGGUGUCGAGCCAAUCAGAGUUUGAUCUUGUUUUUAGCAAUAAAAACUUGAGAAUCUGCUUUCAACGGCGGUAAGCGUUCAGGAGGUUAAUU
Molecule: transfer RNA, 775 nt
Filed under: uncultured cyanobacterium
Lineage: Bacteria; Bacillati; Cyanobacteriota
Description: partial contains 16S ribosomal RNA, 16S-23S ribosomal RNA intergenic spacer, and 23S ribosomal RNA
Rfam family: tRNA (bases 268-340)
Source: RNAcentral